RNAcentral lists this non-coding RNA (113 nucleotides) under human gut metagenome. RNAcentral describes it as "FMN riboswitch (RFN element)". It matches the Rfam family "FMN riboswitch aptamer (RFN element)". From Rfam's summary of the family: The RFN element is a highly conserved domain that is found frequently in the 5'-untranslated regions of prokaryotic mRNAs that encode for flavin mononucleotide (FMN) biosynthesis and transport proteins. This element is a metabolite-dependent riboswitch that directly binds FMN in the absence of proteins. The record is from RNAcentral.
UAUCUUCAGGGCGAGGUGAAAAUCCUCACCGGCGGUAAAGUCCGCGAGGAAGCUUUGGCUUUUUGAAUCGGUGAAACUCCGAUACCGACAGUAUAGUCUGGAUGAGAGAAGAU